Long non-coding RNA from Tripterygium wilfordii, 2085 nucleotides. RefSeq lists it as uncharacterized. The transcript is spliced from 3 exons. The record is from RefSeq and is a predicted model, not a curated record. Lineage: Eukaryota; Viridiplantae; Streptophyta; Magnoliopsida; Celastrales; Celastraceae.
CUGCUUUUGUAUCUCUAAUACAACACUCACGGUUCCUCCUAGCAAAAUUGCUCAAAGCCAAGCAAAAAAAAUAAAAAAAAAAAUUAAAUACAAGAAAAUGAAAUGUCUCCAGCCUGUCGUAGGUUUCGCUGAUUUCGAUUAGCAAUCGAAGAGAUGAACCAUCAUCGUCUCAGAGCGAUCACCCGAUUCAUACUCAUCCAGACGGCCUCUUCAUCCUUUUAUCCUUACGAAUCAUACCCAUUCUCUCCCUUGCGCCUCCUCUUCAUCUGUUGCUCUCUCUCUCCCUGUGAAUCUCACAACCCAUUUGGGUCUCACGCAUAGAGGUCUGUGGUUGGCUCGACUGUCGUCUUUCGUCCUUCCGUGUUCUCUGCUCUGUUUGUUUCAUUGCUUCACCGGAACUGCCAGGCGAUUCAAAGGUUGUCGCAUUGAAUGCACUCUAUGAGGGGGCUUUGUUAGGAGAUGCGAAGGAGGUCUAUGCCUGAGGUAUGUACACUGUUCAAUCCAGUUCAUGGAUAUGGUUUUUGUUAUGGGAUAUUGGGGUCUUCCCCUUGCUUCAUCUUACAGUGUCCUGCAAUUUAUUAUCUUUAAAUUUUUCGUGCUCAAAUCCACUCAUCAGGUUCACUUCUGCUGAUUUAUAAUGAGGUUAGGAUUUGGAUUUCAAUUUACCUAUGUGAUAUUUAUUAACAUAGUGUUUUAGGAUCACAAAAUUUAGUAUCACGCUGUUCUUUAUUUGAUAAUGAUAGCCUUGGAGUGGAGGCCAUCUUUUUUAAUAUACAUGUGUCUUUCAUGUGCUCUCAACUAUGUCUGAGGCUCUAACAAGUGUCUUUCAAGUCUUUAUUUGAUAAUGAUAAUAUCAAAUGCCACUAGAUGGGCUACUUUGGUCCCUUGGGGAUGCUUCUUAAAGCUUAAUUUUGUUUCUUUUACAUUUUCCUAGCCAAGUUCAACAAUCUCUGUUUGUGCCACAGGGAAGCUUUUAAAAGAGGAAAAACUUCCUAAAGAAAUAAGUAGUUUAUCAAUAUAAUAUAAACAUGAGAGCAAUUGAAUUUCUGCCAAUCUGUCUAUACUUAGUUUUUGUUUUUGAGUGUCCAAUUUGAAUUUGGGAUUUCUAAUACUAUAUUGAAAUCUGAUAUGUACAAUUUUUGUACCAGGGGAUACUAUCUGAGAAUGGUCAAAGUUAGCGAACCUAAAAGGAUGAAAACCAGUGAAAAGCAAGAUAUGAAUGGUGAGAGAAACCUAAGAGAAUUACCUGAUGUCAGUCUCCAACACAUCCUUUCUUCAAUUUCAACAAAGUCUGCCGCGAGAGAAGGUGUUCUGACAAAAAGAUGGUAAUCUCUUUGGACAUUUGUUUCGAAAUGCGAUUUUACUGGAUAUGAAAGUAAAAUAGAACCCACUCUAUGGAAUGUUUUGAUUGAGCACUUGCACUCCAUGAAGGUAGUAUUAUAAUACGCUACUCUAUUAUGAGUGAUGUGCUAGGUGAUGCAGAUUGCGUUAGAAGAUGGAUUACAAUUGUAGCGAGAUGGAAUGUUGGAGCCACUUGGUAGUAUAUUUAUGAGCACCACAACAGUUCUUGGUCCAUCAUUGGCUCUUGAUGGCCACCAUAUUCUUCACUACUUCUUCCAUAGAAGAGUGGGAGAUCGGAUCGAGUGGGGUUUCUCCCUCGGAGAUAGUGCCUGCUGUUGCUUGUGCUACUCCAAAUGUUUCUCAAUCUGCAGUAAAGAUGAAAUGGCCUCGACCUCUUGACAUUCAUACUUCUGGUAAGAGAAAUAGUUACUUCAUGCACUUCAUUAUAUUUGUUAGUAUAUAGCUGCCAUGUUGUAAAGAACACUAAAAAAAUAUGCUUCAGAAAAUAAAUAAUUAUAAUCAUUUUGAAUAUGCAUCCCAAUUGUGAUAUUCUAUGAUGUUAUUAAAAAGCUUUUAAUUUGUUUGUGGAUUUCUUUUGUAUGAAUGUGGUCACUGUUCUUUUCUAGCUUAAGGGCUUUCUAACCUAUUACUCUGGUAGAUACAAGCUCUCCUCUGACCAACCCAAAACAUGUAGUCAAUUAUUUGAAGUUGUAUUGCAUAUGAUGUUCCCACUUUAUGGGGAAU